Molecule: ribosomal RNA, 301 nt
Filed under: uncultured bacterium
Lineage: Bacteria
Description: partial 16S ribosomal RNA
Rfam family: Bacterial small subunit ribosomal RNA
Source: RNAcentral
CAGUCGCCGCGGGAACACGGAGGGGGCUAGCGUUGUUCGGAAUUACUGGGCGUAAAGCGCACGUAGGCGGCUUGGUAAGUUAGAGGUGAAAGCCUGGAGCUCAACUCCAGAAUUGCCUUUAAGACUGCCGAGCUAGCAGGUGAGAGAGGUAAGUGGAAUUCCGAGUGUAGAGGUGAAAUUCGUAGAUAUUCGGAAGAACACCAGUGGCGAAGGCGGCUUACUGGCUCAUACUGGACGCUGAGGUGCGAAAGCGUGGGGAGCAAACAGGAUUAGAGACCCGUGUAGUCCCUGUCUCUUAUAC